RNAcentral lists this ribosomal RNA (491 nucleotides) under uncultured bacterium. Its description in RNAcentral is "partial 16S ribosomal RNA". It matches the Rfam family "Bacterial small subunit ribosomal RNA", at positions 29 to 507 of the family's 1533-position model. The record is from RNAcentral.
AGUGAACGCUGGCGGUAGGCCUAACACAUGCAAGUCGAACGGCAGCACAGUAAGAGCUUGCUCUUACGGGUGGCGAGUGGCGGACGGGUGAGGAAUACAUCGGAAUCUACUUUUUCGUGGGGGAUAACGUAGGGAAACUUACGCUAAUACCGCAUACGACCUACGGGUGAAGCAGGGGAUCUUCGGAACUUGCGCGAGUGAAUGAGCCGAUGUCGGAUUAGCUAGUUGGCGGGGUAAAGGCCCACCAAGGCGACGAUCCGUAGCUGGUCUGAGAGGAUGAUCAGCCACACUGGAACUGAGACACGGUCCAGACUCCUACGGGAGGCAGCAGUGGGGAAUAUUGGACAAUGGGCGCAAGCCUGAUCCAGCCAUACCGCGUGGGUGAAGAAGGCCUUCGGGUUGUAAAGCCCUUUUGUUGGGAAAGAAAAGCAGCAGGUUAAUACCCCGCUGUUCUGACGGUACCCAAAGAAUAAGCACCGGCUAACUUCGUG